UAUAAUAAAAUUAAAAUAAUUUAAUCAAUUUAAUAAAUUUAUUUUAUUUUUAUUUUAUUUUUAAUAAACUGAAAAGGAAUUUAUUAUUAUAAUUUAAUAGAAAAAUUAAUGUACCUUUUGCAUUAGGGGUUUUUAAAAAAAAAUAAAAUUUUAUUUUUCUCGAAAUAUUUUGAGCUAAAAUUUAAUUUUUCUAAUGUUUCAAUAUUAAAAUAAAAUAAAUUUUAGAGGUGAAAUUCUUAUCAAAAAAUAUAAUAUCUAGUUAAAAAAAAUUAAUUAAAUAUUAUUUUGUAAAUAUUAAUUUAUUUUUUAAAACUACAAAAAAAAGUUUUUGGGAUAAGCUAAAAAUUAUUAAAUUUAUAAUAUUUUAAAAAAUAAUAAAAGAAUUAAAAUUUUUCUAUUUAUUUUUAUAAAUAAAUUAAGUUAAAUUGAAAUAAAAGAAUUUAUUUUUUUAAAUUAAAUUUAAUUAAAAAUUUAAAAAAAAAUGAAAAUAUUAGUAAAAAAUUUUUUUUUGUAAUUAUUAAUAAUUAAUUAAAAAUUAAUUUAAUUUAAUUUAAUUUUUAAGAACUAGGCAAUUAUUUUUUUUGACUGUUUAAUAAAAACAACGCAUUUAGAUAAACAAUAAAUGCAAAUCCUGCUCAAUGAAAUUUUUUUUAAAUUGCUGUAGUAUUUUGACUAUACAAAGGUAUUGAAAUAAGAUUUUAAUUGAAUGCUAAGAGAAUGGAAUAUCAAAAAACAACUUUCUUAAAAUUAAAAAUUGAAAUUUUUUUAAUUUGUGUAAAAACAAUUAUAAAAAUUAAAGACAAGAAGACCCUAAGAAUUUUUAAAAUUUAAAUAAUACAUUUUUUGUUUUAAUUAAAUUUUAACUGGGGCGGUUAAAAAAUAUUAAAAACUUUUUAAUUUAAAAAUGACCCAUUAUUAAUGAAAAUAUGAUUAAAUACUCUAGGGAUAACAGCGUUAUAUUUUUUGAUAGAUCAUAUUGACAAAAAAGUUUGCGACCUCGAUGUUGGAUUAGGAUACUUUUUUAAUGAAGAUAUUAAAAUAAGAAGUUUGUUCAACUUUUAAAUUCCUACAUGAUCUGAGUUUAGACCGAUGAGAAUCAGGUUGGAUUCUAUCUUAAUAAAAAACAAAUUUUAUUUAGUACGAAAGGAAUUUUAAAAUCUAAUUUUUAGUUUUAUUUAUUUAUUUUAUUUGCAUCAAUUUUUGUAAUU
Molecule: ribosomal RNA, 1208 nt
Filed under: Rhipicephalus microplus (southern cattle tick)
Lineage: Eukaryota; Metazoa; Arthropoda; Arachnida; Ixodida; Ixodidae
Description: 16S ribosomal RNA
Source: RNAcentral